Molecule: long non-coding RNA, 706 nt
Organism: Equus caballus (horse)
Lineage: Eukaryota; Metazoa; Chordata; Mammalia; Perissodactyla; Equidae
Source: RefSeq, a predicted model, not a curated record
GCUCCUGCAGGCCAGACAGACAGGGGUGUGGGUGCCUUGGGGGAGACCACCCAGAGUCCAGGCGGCAGCCUUCCCCACCAAAGGCCUGGCCAUCAGGCAGCAUCACACCUGGUACGUCCCCUGGCCAACUCCAGCAGGAUAAGUUGCUAGAAAAGGAAGAACUAUGUCAAAGAGAGGAGCCACUACUUUCAGGAGGAAAAAACUCCCGCCGACCAGGAGCCGCAGUGAUGACCUCAGGGUUAUGAGAAAUGAGAGGAGAAACAGGAAGGAAAUAAACACGGAAAUGCCACAAGGGAGAAGGAUGACCACCCCGCCGGACCCUACAUCCUGCACACAGAACACACGCCCUCAGCCACACACGCUGAGCGCCUGCUGUGUGCCAGGCCCUGGGGGAUUUGGACCUGCCCUCCAGGAAGCUGGGCAUGCGCCUCCUCCCCACACACACACCCACCUUCCACGUCACACUCCCUCCACACCCUUCCGCCUUGACGCCUCCCCCUCCAUCUGCAGGGGGUCUGUCCCUCCCUCUGCCUGAAAACAUGUCACCCACUUUCCAAGGCCCACCUCAAAGUUUCCUCCCCCAGGAAGCCUUCCUGGUUUGCUCCUGCCCAGGUCCCUCCCUUCCUGCCUGUGCUGAACAGCCCAGCACUUGGGCUGCGUGGAUCAUUUCCUAAUUGUUGCAUGGACAAUAAUAAUAAUAAUAACA